AAAUUGAAGAGUUUGAUCAUGGCUCAGAUUGAACGCUGGCGGCAGGCCUAACACAUGCAAGUCGAGCGGAAACGAGUUAUCUGAACCUUCGGGGAACGAUAAAGGCGUCGAGCGGCGGACGGGUGAGUAAUGCCUAGGAAAUUGCCCUGAUGUGGGGGAUAACCAUUGGAAACGAUGGCUAAUACCGCAUGAUGCCUACGGGCCAA
This 206-nucleotide ribosomal RNA is filed under the name Vibrio sp. T21. RNAcentral describes it as "partial 16S ribosomal RNA". It matches the Rfam family "Bacterial small subunit ribosomal RNA", at positions 1 to 190 of the family's 1533-position model. Lineage: Bacteria; Pseudomonadati; Pseudomonadota; Gammaproteobacteria; Vibrionales; Vibrionaceae. The record is from RNAcentral.